Molecule: long non-coding RNA, 1038 nt
Filed under: Crocodylus porosus (Australian saltwater crocodile)
Lineage: Eukaryota; Metazoa; Chordata; Crocodylia; Crocodylidae
Description: lncRNA (ENSCPRG00005012936.1)
Source: RNAcentral
UCCCGCGCUCCUGCCAAGAGCGUGACGCCCGCCUGCAACAGGUGCCGGCCGGCGCAGGCUGCCAGCCGCGGCUCCGCUACAGAGCAGGGCUUCCCGUGGCCGCUGUCCGGCUCCCGGCCUGUCCACGGCUGGCGCCAACCCUUCACCCCAGCACCUGCGCGCCAGAGCCGCCCGUGGCAGCCCGCGGCGCCGAGAUGGAGGCGCUCGUGUGAGCUGAGGGCUGGAGGGCCAGGGUCAAGAUUAGGAGGGGCGGGGGGAUCGGCCCCACUGGGCUUUAUACGGCCCAUUUCAUCCGUUGCAAAGGGAUGGCAGAGAAGCGCCAGGCUGGCAGCCCGGCGCCCUCCACACGCGGGCCACCGCCGAGCCUGCAGCCCGUGCCCACCAGCCUCCCGGCCCUCCGCAGACCGGCCACGCGCCCAGGCUGGCGGAGGAGCAGGAGGGCGGCCGGUCCCUCGUGGCAUCCCCUCCUGCUCCUCGGCCGGUCCUCGCGGCCCCGGGAACUGCCCACGGUCGUGGCGCGGCCACCUUCCUCCCACCCGGGCGCACAGGGCUGCUCCCUCAGCGCCCAUCCCGCUCGCCCCCCGCCUAGGCUGUCCCCUUGCAGCCCGCGCCCUGCUCCCUGGGGCCGCGCACAGAGCCCGGCCUGGCUCUGUCCAUUGCCGGCCCAGCAGGGCGAGCGCCACGGGCGUGGAGGCCCACGCAGGACGCUUGCAGCAGCGGGAGCUUAUGAGGGUCCUUUAUGACCCACCCCGUAAGGCCGUGCUCCCGUGGCGGGGUCGGGGGCCGCUUCGGGGCACCCCGGGGGCUGCCGGGGAGCGGCCCGUGGUCCCCGGGGAAAGGCCCUCCCCGAGAAGCAGCGAUGCCCGUGGCCCUGGGGCCUGGCAGGAUGAGCUCCGCGUCCCACCCGGGCCCUCUUGGCAACCCUGUUCCCGCCACCUGAACUCAACCACGAUAACCCGGCAGUGUCAAAGGCCGGCCGCGUGGCCCCGACCUCGCCGGGCAAAGCGUCGUGCCCAAGGCCCCACGGCAGCUCGGUAG